This 724-nucleotide ribosomal RNA is filed under the name Bacteroides caccae. RNAcentral describes it as "bacterial SSU rRNA". It matches the Rfam family "Bacterial small subunit ribosomal RNA", at positions 39 to 753 of the family's 1533-position model. The record is from RNAcentral. Lineage: Bacteria; Pseudomonadati; Bacteroidota; Bacteroidia; Bacteroidales; Bacteroidaceae.
GCUCAGGCUUACACAUGCAAGUCGAGGGGCAUCAGUUUGGUUUGCUUGCAAACCAAAGCUGGCGACCGGCGCACGGGUGAGUAACACGUAUCCAACCUGCCUCAUACUCGGGGAUAGCCUUUCGAAAGAAAGAUUAAUAUCCGAUAGCAUAUAUUUCCCGCAUGGGUUUUAUAUUAAAGAAAUUCGGUAUGAGAUGGGGAUGCGUUCCAUUAGUUUGUUGGGGGGGUAACGGCCCACCAAGACUACGAUGGAUAGGGGUUCUGAGAGGAAGGUCCCCCACAUUGGAACUGAGACACGGUCCAAACUCCUACGGGAGGCAGCAGUGAGGAAUAUUGGUCAAUGGACGCGAGUCUGAACCAGCCAAGUAGCGUGAAGGAUGACUGCCCUAUGGGUUGUAAACUUCUUUUAUAUGGGAAUAAAGUUGUCCACGUGUGGAUUUUUGUAUGUACCAUAUGAAUAAGGAUCGGCUAACUCCGUGCCAGCAGCCGCGGUAAUACGGAGGAUCCGAGCGUUAUCCGGAUUUAUUGGGUUUAAAGGGAGCGUAGGCGGAUUGUUAAGUCAGUUGUGAAAGUUUGCGGCUCAACCGUAAAAUUGCAGUUGAUACUGGCAGUCUUGAGUGCAGUAGAGGUGGGCGGAAUUCGUGGUGUAGCGGUGAAAUGCUUAGAUAUCACGAAGAACUCCGAUUGCGAAGGCAGCUCACUGGAGUGUAACUGACGCUGAUGCU